GGCUGGUCCUAGUGCUGUGGUGUUUACAACUAAUUGAUCACAACUAGUUACAGAUUUUUUGUUCCGUCUCCACUCCCACUGCUUCACUUGACUAGCCUCAA
This 101-nucleotide Y RNA is filed under the name Saimiri boliviensis boliviensis (Bolivian squirrel monkey). Its description in RNAcentral is "Y RNA (ENSSBOG00000000260.1)". It matches the Rfam family "Y RNA". Rfam says of the family: Y RNAs are components of the Ro ribonucleoprotein particle (Ro RNP), in association with Ro60 and La proteins. The Y RNAs and Ro60 and La proteins are well conserved, but the function of the Ro RNP is not known. Lineage: Eukaryota; Metazoa; Chordata; Mammalia; Primates; Cebidae. The record is from Rfam by way of RNAcentral.